GGACUCUCACUGAUGCCUCUUCUGUUGAGGAAUCUCCAAUGCAGUCUUCAUGCACAGACACUCUCUCUGUGUCAUCACGUUCAUCGGACAGUGAUCUUUCGUUCAUGUCCCCUAAACGAAGAUGCAUUGAUGACACCUUGAUGAUGUCCCCAAGAAGAGAUUCAAGUGAUGACAUUUCCUUACAAGCCAAAGAGCUUGUCAAAACACUCCUGGAUGCUAAGCCAGGAGGAGAGAAGAUACUCAAAGAAUACACACAAACAGGGGAGGUUAAAGACCCAUUA
Molecule: long non-coding RNA, 281 nt
Organism: Archocentrus centrarchus (flier cichlid)
Lineage: Eukaryota; Metazoa; Chordata; Actinopteri; Cichliformes; Cichlidae
Exons: 3
Source: RefSeq, a predicted model, not a curated record